This 83-nucleotide microRNA precursor is filed under the name Podarcis lilfordi (Lilford's wall lizard). Lineage: Eukaryota; Metazoa; Chordata; Lepidosauria; Squamata; Lacertidae. The record is from RNAcentral.
AUACACACACACACACACACACACACACACACAUAUAUAUAUAUAUGUAUACUGUGUGGGUGUGGGCGUGGGUGUGGGUGUAA